This 87-nucleotide transfer RNA is filed under the name Fidelibacterota bacterium. RNAcentral describes it as "tRNA-Leu". It matches the Rfam family "tRNA". Rfam says of the family: Transfer RNA (tRNA) molecules are approximately 80 nucleotides in length. Their secondary structure includes four short double-helical elements and three loops (D, anti-codon, and T loops). Further hydrogen bonds mediate the characteristic L-shaped molecular structure. tRNAs have two regions of fundamental functional importance: the anti-codon, which is responsible for specific mRNA codon recognition, and the 3' end, to which the tRNAs corresponding amino acid is attached (by aminoacyl-tRNA synthetases). tRNAs cope with the degeneracy of the genetic code in two manners: having more than one tRNA (with a specific anti-codon) for a particular amino acid; and 'wobble' base-pairing, i.e. permitting non-standard base-pairing at the 3rd anti-codon position. The record is from RNAcentral. Lineage: Bacteria; Pseudomonadati; Fidelibacterota.
GCCGGGGUGGCGGAAUUGGUAGACGCGUCGGUCUCAAACACCGAUGGGGGCAACCCCGUGCCGGUUCGACUCCGGCCCUCGGCACCG